AAGUGACUAACGGGAACUUGUUAUCGCUCACACCAUUCCCAAUGAAUCAUCUGGCAAUAUGCGCCUUGUUUUUAACAACAUAUGUGGACUAUAAACCUUUGAAGAUGACAUUCACCUAUUUCAGUAGGAAACUCCUGGACUUUACCCCGGAAUAUUUUUUGUCGUUUAAAAGUUACUUUUAAACCAAAGGCCAUUGGAUGAGAUAAACUGUUUAUUAAUACAUGUGUAACCGAACUGUUCAACACGUGAACCCAUACGCAUGUAAUAUACCUAUUGUACAAACACCAAUUGAUAAAAAAGAACCUUGAACCAUUAUAAGAAGAUAUACCUGUACUUAUGUUAUAACCAUUAUCAGGUGUCGAAGUUGACGUAAGUCUUUUCUGUCUUUACCAUUUACUACUUAGUCAAUAAAUUCAGUCGCAGAUUGAAUUCGCAUGUUUUUAUUUGGAUUUUCUAUCUUUAAUGCAUUUAAUUUGUUGUACAUUUGCAGAUAAUCGAACCUAUUUGAAACCAUUUGAAGAAUCUCUGAACAGAAAAUAUAAGAAAUGGUGAGUCGAAAGAUAAUAAAAUUUUAAUCCAGAUCAAUAGACAACUAUGUACAUGUAACUUAUCUAUUUAUAUGCUACACAAUUUGAUGUAUUUUGUUUUUAUCAUUUUACGGAAUACUAGUUAUUACAUUGCUUCUUUCAAAUCACAACCCUCAGAAUAACAUCAUAUUGCUGUUCAGAAAAUUUUGGGUAAUUUAAGUAAAAUACAACAAUUCUAAUUUCCUUGUUUUGCUCUAAAAUAUGUUGUAAAUACUCAGGACAAAUGCGGCGUUUGAAUUACUUUUUUAACGCAUUCGUUGAUCACUGCAACCCAAUUAUUAUACGGUUAAGAAAACUGCAAUAGUGUUUAAUAAUUUCAUGGCACCACACUCUUGUUUUAAUAAAUUUAUGCAUCUGUUCAAGUUAAGAUUAUAUAAAUAUACUAUAUCCAUUUAUCAGUUCAGCCGGGUUUAUUAGUUAUCGGUUUUUAUCGGCGAGUCGAGAUUAUAUUUUGAUUUAAAUUAAGACAUCCAAGGUCGGAUGUCUGUCUCUGGGAAGGUCACACGAGUAGAAGUACAAAUUGUCGAGUACAAGUCUAUAAAAUAAAUUGCCUAUAUGUAUAACAAUAGUUCGGUUAAGUUCUAUCAUGGUCUCUGGUCCUAACAACAACCCUGCAAAACUCAGGAUUCAGUGACAGAUCCAAAAUUUUUUAUAAAGGGUGAAAAAGGGGGUAGGUAAAAAAAAGGGGGGGUGGGGCGCACUGACUACUUAAGGGGGUCGGGUCUGCUCCAGACAUGUCGCAGUGACUCCCUAUAUAAUCAACCAAAUUUACCUCACAAAAAGAUUGGCCCGGGCACCUUAAUCCUUAAUCCGCCUCUGGGAUUGUGAACAGGUCUGAUCAAGAUCCAUCGAAGAAUAUUUGAAAAAAGUCAAUAUGAAAAUAAAAAGAUGUCAGGUCAUUUUAGGGCCAAAAACCUAAAUAAGGAGUCAAUUACCGAUUUCAACAACUUUUUUCUUGUAGAUCUUGUCUUACUGGUGAUUUAAGAUGUAAUUUACAGUUUCUCUCUAUCUGGUACAAAAAUGAUUUGAAACAGUAAUUCGGUCAAGAAUUAUCAUUUAUGAGCAGUAACUAUAAGAAAUCGAUCCUCAAAUUCAAUUUUAUGUAAUUAUGUUACCAUUUCUAUUUAUGGAUUUUAAGACUAAAGCAACGAAUUCCAAACAAUGAAGAUUUCUACACAAACAAUAAAUCCUUAGGUCUAUAUUUAUAACCAGAAAAAAGAUGCAGUAUUGUCACCAUACUUUAUAGCCAGACAGUACAAGUUACAAAGCAAGUUUUUUUUUUUUUUUUUUAUUUAUUUCUUAAUGUUUAUAAAUUGUCUUCCAACUAAUUUCCUAUUUAAAACAUUUUAUUUAUUUUUCAUUACAGGCAAGUGGAUUUUUUAGAACAAUUGCAAGAUGGGCUGUAUUUAUCGUGAUCCUAGGUUGGCAUUUAUUCCGAGAUUUAGUGGGAUACGUUAUACCAGCAUUGAAACCAACACCAGAUAAUGGAGCAUUGAAGUCAUCAUGAAACUAAAUCAAAACUUUUCCAUCACAAUUUAAAAGCAUUAUCAUUUUUGUAUGUAUUAAAGCAUAAUAACAAAUAAAUUUUAUAAACAUUUUGUAUGAAGAAACAAACAGAUUUCAGUUAUUUAGUAAAUGUCAAAGAGACACCAACCCAACAACAUGAAAUACAAAAGAAAUCUAGUGGUUACAUGUAGUACAUUGAACAAUUUCUAAAAAUGCUUUUCAAAUAACAUUUUGAAGUCAUCUCUUCAUUUGUCAUUUCGGG
Molecule: long non-coding RNA, 2355 nt
Filed under: Mytilus galloprovincialis (Mediterranean mussel)
Lineage: Eukaryota; Metazoa; Mollusca; Bivalvia; Mytilida; Mytilidae
Source: RNAcentral